UACGGAGGGUGCGAGCGUUAUCCGGAUUCACUGGGUUUAAAGGGGGCGUAGGUGGGCAGGUAAGUCAGUGGUGAAAUCUCCGGGCUUAACCCGGAAACUGCCAUUGAUACUAUCAGUCUUGAAUACCGUGGAGGUAAGCGGAAUAUGUCAUGUAGCGGUGAAAUGCUUAGAUAUGACAUAGAACACCAAUUGCGAAGGCAGCUUACUACCCGAAUAUUGACACUGAGGCACGAAAGCGUGGGGAUCAAACAGG
RNAcentral lists this ribosomal RNA (253 nucleotides) under uncultured bacterium. RNAcentral's name for it is "partial 16S ribosomal RNA". It matches the Rfam family "Bacterial small subunit ribosomal RNA", at positions 524 to 776 of the family's 1533-position model. The record is from RNAcentral.